UACGGGGGGAACAAGCGUUGUUCGGAUUUACUGGGCGUAAAGGGCGCGUAGGCGGCGUGACAAGUCACUUGUGAAAUCUCCGGGCUUAACUCGGAACGGUCAAGUGAUACUGUCGUGCUAGAGUACAGAAGGGGCAACUGGAAUUCUCGGUGUAGCGGUGAAAUGCGUAGAUAUCGAGAGGAACACCUGCGGCGAAGGCGGGUUGCUGGGCUGAUACUGACGCUGAGGCGCGAAAGCCAGGGGAGCGAACGGG
RNAcentral lists this ribosomal RNA (253 nucleotides) under uncultured bacterium. RNAcentral describes it as "partial 16S ribosomal RNA". It matches the Rfam family "Bacterial small subunit ribosomal RNA", at positions 524 to 776 of the family's 1533-position model. The record is from RNAcentral.